This 425-nucleotide ribosomal RNA is filed under the name Leptodactylus mystaceus group sp. ABGD cluster 49. RNAcentral's name for it is "partial large subunit ribosomal RNA". It matches the Rfam family "Bacterial large subunit ribosomal RNA", at positions 1822 to 2457 of the family's 2925-position model. Lineage: Eukaryota; Metazoa; Chordata; Amphibia; Anura; Leptodactylidae. The record is from RNAcentral.
CUUGACAAACUUAUAAGAGGUCCAGCCUGCCCAGUGACUCUGUUCAACGGCCGCGGUAUCCUAACCGUGCGAAGGUAGCGUAAUCACUUGUUCUUUAAAUGAGGACUAGUAUGAAUGGCACCACGAAGGUUAUACUGUCUCCUUUUUCUAACCAGUGAAACUAAUCUUCCCGUGAAGAAACGGGAAUAAAAAUAUAAGACGAGAAGACCCUAUGGAGCUUUAAACAAAUAUACACCUGCCUCUUUACCAAAAAUUUCAGAAGACAAGUAAUUACUCGGGCAUUUUGAUAUAGCGUUUUAGGUUGGGGUGACCACGGAGCAAAAAACAACCUCCGCAGCGAACGGGAAUAUUCCCUUAACCAAGGGCCACAACCCCAAGUAUUGAUAAAUCAACACUAAUUGACCCAAUAAAUUUGACCAAUGAAC